RNAcentral lists this ribosomal RNA (467 nucleotides) under uncultured bacterium. RNAcentral describes it as "partial 16S ribosomal RNA". It matches the Rfam family "Bacterial small subunit ribosomal RNA", at positions 29 to 507 of the family's 1533-position model. The record is from RNAcentral.
ACGCACGCUGGCGGCGUGCUUAACACAUGCAAGUCGCACGGAAAGGCCCUGCUUUUGUGGGGUGCUCGAGUGGCGAACGGGUGAGUAACACGUGAGUAACCUGCCCUUGACUUUGGGAUAACUUCAGGAAACUGGGGCUAAUACCGGAUAGGAGCUCCUGCUGCAUGGUGGGGGUUGGAAAGUUUCGGCGGUUGGGGAUGGACUCGCGGCUUAUCAGCUUGUUGGUGGGGUAGUGGCUUACCAAGGCUUUGACGGGUAGCCGGCCUGAGAGGGUGACCGGCCACAUUGGGACUGAGAUACGGCCCAGACUCCUACGGGAGGCAGCAGUGGGGAAUAUUGCACAAUGGGCGGAAGCCUGACGCAGCAACGCCGCGUGCGGGAUGACGGCCUUCGGGUUGUAAACCGCUUUCGCCUGUGACGAAGCGUGAGUGACGGUAAUGGGUAAAGAAGCACCGGCUAACUACGUG